GAUGAACGCUGACAGAAUGCUUAACACAUGCGAGUCUUUGGCGAAGCUGUGCUUGCACAGCCUAGCCAAGGCGGACGGGUGAGUAACGCGUAAGGAACUUGCCCUGCAGUCAGGGAUAACAGACGGAAACGACUGAUAAGACCUGGUAAAGUCAGGCGGACUCAUGUCCAGCCUGAUGAAAAGAGAUGCUGCAGGAGAGCCUUGCGUCCUAUUAGCUUGUUGGUGGGGUAACGGCCCACCAAGGCGAUGAUAGGUAGCCGGCCUGAGAGGGUGGACGGCCACAAGGGGACUGAGAUACGGCCCUUACUCCUACGGGAGGCAGCAGUGGGGAAUAUUGGACAAUGGGGGCAACCCUGAUCCAGCAAUUCUGUGUGCACGAUGAAGGUUUUCGGAUUGUAAAGUGCUUUCAGCAGGGAAGAAAAAAAUGACGGUACCUGCAGAAGAAGCGACGGCUAAAUACGU
Molecule: ribosomal RNA, 462 nt
Filed under: uncultured bacterium
Lineage: Bacteria
Description: partial 16S ribosomal RNA
Rfam family: Bacterial small subunit ribosomal RNA
Source: RNAcentral